This is a long non-coding RNA of Siniperca chuatsi (mandarin fish), 1084 nucleotides long. RefSeq lists it as uncharacterized. The transcript is spliced from 3 exons. Lineage: Eukaryota; Metazoa; Chordata; Actinopteri; Centrarchiformes; Sinipercidae. The record is from RefSeq and is a predicted model, not a curated record.
UAAUUACCUAAUUUAGCAUUUUAGCUGACUCUACCUGGACUGGGAGCUCGGAGUACCAGAGGAGUGUGAUGAAGCCGGAGAGGAGCGAGUACAGUUUGGAAAACCUAAAUAAUCUUUUAGAAGAAAAAGACUGAGAAGAAAAAAAGGGCAGCGGACUUCACGUUGGAAGCGGACAGUGUUUUUCCAUGGCACGUGCAGGACGUCCAGGAAAUGUCUGGCUGCAGCUGCAGUAACAACACGGCGCGGUCUGUGGCCUCUCUGCUCUGCAGGAGCCUGUGCAGGGCUACGACUGUUUUCAAACCUGCCGAGACCUUCUCCACAGGUACAUGCUGUGAUGUUUAAUGUGAACCGCUGUCAUUUCUGCUCUCAGUGCAAAAACACAUCUAUAGGAGGGAAGUGGUGCUGCCGGUGGUAGCUGUCAGAGUGUGAUGAUCUGUAGAAAAUGAAAAAGGCACAUUCUGUCCAAAUGUGUGGCUGUCUGCAGGGUAAAUGCAAUUUUUUAUUUGCAUGAUGUUGGUUAACAGCCUUUUUCAAAUUAGAUUUUGUCUCUUACACCUCUUAUCACACUAAUGUGCAAGAUUAUAGCAAUACAGUGUGUUUUAAUAAUAUAAAAGCAGUUGAUUAAAGCUUUACUGGGCAAUGAAUGGCAGUAACUCAACAAAAAUACCCAGAACUCAUGUAACAUAACAUGAAACAACUGCACUCCUGAAACAUAAUCACCCCCUCUUCUUAUUGGUUGCACUGGGAAAGAGGUUCAACCAUCUUUGGUGAGUUCUACUUUUUACAGAAUCAAGAUUCAAAGCUUUAUUGUCAUAUGCACUAAGAGCAAUACAAUUCAUAGCUUACUGUAUUCUGAUUGUCAUCUUUUCUUUUACCUACAGUAAUGUCACACUCUACCCACAAUGCAGUGCAAAAUCAUCCGCCAUAUUGUUGGUGGUGCAAACAAACACUUCAAGAGGUGCCUUUUCGAGCAUGCGAAGAUGAUAAUGAGUUAAUAUUUAUCCCUUUUUCGCAGUACAUAUGUCAACAUGUCAUCCGAUUACAUUUCUGUGCUCCCUCUUGAUUAAUAAAACAUCUAAAAUAA